This 414-nucleotide long non-coding RNA is filed under the name Rattus norvegicus (Norway rat). RNAcentral describes it as "long non-coding RNA NONRATT001090". The record is from RNAcentral. Lineage: Eukaryota; Metazoa; Chordata; Mammalia; Rodentia; Muridae.
UGAUUAUGUCAUGAACAACUGAUAAAGCAGCAUCUGUUUGUAGAUCUAUCUAUCUACUAUUUAUUACUAAAUUAUUUUAUUUACAUUUCUAAAUGUUGCUGCCUUUUCCAGUUCUCCCUCCCAUGUUCUUCACCCCAUUCCCCCUUCUCUUUGCUUCUGAGAGGGUGCUCCCCCACUACUCACCCCCACCAGCAUUCCCUUUUCCUGGGGCAUCAAGUUUCUACAAGAUUAGGCUCAUUCUCUCUCACUGAGACCAGAAAAGGCCAUCCUCUGCUACAUACAUGCCUGGGGCCACGGACCAGUCCAUUUAUGAUCUUUGGUUGGUGGCUUAUCUGUGAGAGCUCUGAGGGGGUUCAGAUUAGUUAAUACUGUUUGUUCUUCCUAUAGGGUUGCCAUCCCCUUCAGCUCCUUCAA